Molecule: ribosomal RNA, 947 nt
Filed under: uncultured bacterium
Lineage: Bacteria
Description: bacterial SSU rRNA
Rfam family: Bacterial small subunit ribosomal RNA
Source: RNAcentral
AGAGUUUGAUCCUGGCUCAGGACGAACGCUGGCUAACACAUGCAAGUCGAGCGGAGAUAUUUGAGUAGUUUACUAUGAAAAUAUUUUAGCGGCGGACGGGUGAGUAACGCGUGAGUAACCUGCCUGUAAGAGGGGGAUAACACAUCGAAAGGUGUGCUAAUACCGCAUAUUGUAUAAUAUCCGCAUGGAUGCUAUAUGAAAGGAGCAACCGCUUACAGAUGGACUCGCGUCCCAUUAGCUAGUUGGUAGAGUAAAAGCCUACCAAGGCGACGAUGGGUAGCCGACCUGAGAGGGUGAUCGGCCACAUUGGGACUGAGACACGGCCCAGACUCCUACGGGAGGCAGCAGUGGGGAAUAUUGCGCAAUGGGGGAAACCCUGACGCAGCAACGCCGCGUGAAGGAAGAAGGCUUUCGGGUCGUAAACUUUUGUCUUCUGGGAAGAAUAAAUGACGGUACCAGAGGAGGAAGCCACGGCUAACUACGUGCCAGCAGCCGCGGUAAUACGUAGGUGGCGAGCGUUGUCCGGAUUUACUGGGUGUAAAGGGUGCGUAGGCGGGUAUGCAAGUCAGAUGUGAAAUACCGGGGCUCAACUCCGGGGCUGCAUUUGAAACUGCAUAUCUUGAGUGCAGGAGAGGAAAGUGGAAUCCCUAGUGUAGCGGUGAAAUGCGUAGAGAUUAGAGGAACACCAGUGGCGAAGGCGACUUUCUGGACUGUAACUGACGCUGAGGCACGAAAGUGUGGGGAGCGAACAGGAUUAGAUACCCUGGUAGUCCACACUGUAAACGAUGGAUACUAGGUGUAGGGGGUAUCGACCCCUUCUGUGCCGGAGUUAACACAAUAAGUAUCCCACCUGGGGGAGUACGGGCCGCAAGGUUGAAACUCAAAGGAAUUGACGGGGGCCCGCACAAGCAGUGGAGUAUGUGGUUUAAUUCGAAGCAACGCGAAGA